This is a long non-coding RNA of Vigna radiata var. radiata (mung bean), 1089 nucleotides long. RefSeq lists it as uncharacterized. Lineage: Eukaryota; Viridiplantae; Streptophyta; Magnoliopsida; Fabales; Fabaceae. The record is from RefSeq and is a predicted model, not a curated record. The transcript has 2 exons.
GUUAAUAUUCCCAAAUUAAAUNAAUUACUGAAUUUUAUCUUUAAACUUUUCUGAAUUUCCAAAAUUGCACAAAUAUCCUGAAGNUUCCUAUAUCUGCACUUUAGUCCCUCCAGAAUUCUUCAAAAUUGCAACAGAACCCCUCAGUUGACCAGACUUUGACCAGGUUUAAUCAAAUGGAUGUGUUAAUGGAAUGCUGCCACGUGUUCUUUCCUUCCCCACCCAAAAUUAGGGUUUCGGAUUGGGGGUAAAGGGAUUUGGGGGCUCCAUUCUAUCUUCGCCUGCUGCGCGAGAUUGGGAGAGAGGUUUCACUCUUUGGAGGCGCGGUGGCUAUGGUGUGAUUUUGGUUUUUCUGUGCAGGUCUGGUUUUGAUGCAGGUUUGGAAGGAGAUCGAAUUACGCUUGGUGACAGAGGACGAAGGAAUCGCGAUUCUAGGGCUGAUGGGAUUCGUAUUUUGCGAUUACUGUUGAGAACUCGCUUCUAGGUUUUGCAAUUGGUGGCAUUGCGAAGAAGAUGAAGGUGAUGAUCCAGAUUCGAAGAAGGUUCGAAUCUGCGAGGCUUGCUAAACUGCGGCAUGGUGACGGCGUCGAGGAAGAAGGUGGCGCGUCAUGGAGGUCGAGGCGUCUUCAUGGAUGGCGCGAUGAUGAUGGAAGAAGGUGACGCGUCGAGAAGCUGGCGGAUCUGGUGCGGCGGCUAGGAUACCUGACGGCGGCUAGGGUUUCUGGUNAGGAAUUAGGGUUUCUGUUGGGGAUGGUGAUGACGUGGCAAGAGGGGCUAGGUGGCAUGUUCUGAGUGGUGUAUUUGGUGNGUAGUAGGAUCAGUGACGUGGCAUUAUCUGGGUGGUUGGAUCUAUUAGUAGUGGACUGCCAUGUGGCUAAAUGUGAUGUAAUCUGGUUUAAUUAGUGGUAAGAGAGGUGUGUAUAGGAAAUUAGGGAUUACAGGAGAGAAAAGGCUUAGUCUGGGCUUGGUUGUUAGCCUGGUUUAGGAGAGAGGGGUGCAUAUAGGGAAUUUUGGGAGGUGCAAGGGUAAAAACUGCUUCUUUAGCCCAUCUGGACACUAUUUAUCAAAUAAAAUCUGAUUUUGGGCUUUAAA